GCGCCCGUAGCUCAGCCAGGAUAGAGCGGUGGUUUCCUAAACCACAGGUCAGAGGUUCGAGUCCUCUCGGGCGUA
Molecule: transfer RNA, 75 nt
Filed under: Bacteroidota bacterium
Lineage: Bacteria; Pseudomonadati; Bacteroidota
Description: Bacteroidetes bacterium (marine metagenome) tRNA-Arg
Rfam family: tRNA
About the family: Transfer RNA (tRNA) molecules are approximately 80 nucleotides in length. Their secondary structure includes four short double-helical elements and three loops (D, anti-codon, and T loops).
Source: RNAcentral